AUUCCAGCUCCAAUAGCGUAUAUUAAAGUUGUUGCAGUUAAAAAGCUCGUAGUUGGAUUUCUGGUGGGAGCGAUCGGUCUGGCGCUUAGCGCGAGUACUUGCAUCGUCUCCGGCCAUCCUUGGGGAGAGUUUGUCUGGCAUUAAGUUGUCGGGCAGAGGAUCCUCAUCGUUUACUGUGAAAAAAUUAGAGUGUUCAAAGCAGGCUUAUGCCGUUGAAUAUAUUAGCAUGGAAUAAUAAGAUAGGACUUUGGUACUAUUUUGUUGGUUUGCGCACCAAAGUAAUGAUUAAUAGGGACAGUUGGGGGUAUUCGUAUUCCGUUGUCAGAGGUGAAAUUCUUGGAUUUGUUAAAGGCGGACUACUGCGAAAGCAUCUGCCAUGGAUGUUUUCAUUG
This 392-nucleotide ribosomal RNA is filed under the name Arcocellulus sp. Its description in RNAcentral is "partial small subunit ribosomal RNA". It matches the Rfam family "Eukaryotic small subunit ribosomal RNA", at positions 582 to 975 of the family's 1831-position model. The record is from RNAcentral. Lineage: Eukaryota; Bacillariophyta; Thalassiosirophyceae; Cymatosirales; Cymatosiraceae.